Molecule: ribosomal RNA, 775 nt
Filed under: uncultured Neocallimastigales
Lineage: Eukaryota; Fungi; Neocallimastigomycota; Neocallimastigomycetes; Neocallimastigales
Description: partial large subunit ribosomal RNA
Rfam family: Eukaryotic large subunit ribosomal RNA
Source: RNAcentral
UAUCUCUGUAGAGUCUGCAUAUCAAUAAGCGGAGGAAAAGAAACUAACUAGGAUUCCCUUAGUAACGGCGAGUGAAGCGGGAAGAGCUCAAAUUUGAAAUCUUCAAGGUUUUACCUUGACGAAUUGUAGUUUAAAGAAGUGUUUUCUGUUGAAGUUUUGGUAAAAGUUCUUUGGAAUAGGACAUCAUAGAGGGAUGAGAAUCCCGUAUUUGACCAUUAUUUUCAGCUGUGUGAUACACUUUCAAAGAGUCGGAUUGUUUGGGAAUGCAGUCCAAAAUGGGUGGUAAAUUUCAUCUAAAGCUAAAUAUUGGCGAGAGACCGAUAGCGAACAAGUACCGUGAGGGAAAGAUGAAAAGAACUUUGAAAAGAGAGUUAAACAGUACGUGAAAUUGUCAAAAGGGAAGCGUUUGACACCAGUGUUGUUUUCUCGAAAAUCAAUUAAAAAAGGCCGGAUUUUGUGUUGUAUUGACCUUAAAAGCUUUCUUCACUCUUUUCUUGUCUUUUUUAAUGCACUUUUCGUUUAACAAGUCAACAUCAGUUUCUUUUGUUGUAAAAGGGUCAUUGGAAGGUGGCUUUCUUUUCGGAGAAAGUGUUUAUAGCCUUUGAUCUCUGCAACCGGAGAGACUGAGGUCUGCAGCGUAGACUCUUCGGGGUUAGAUACAUUUGUGCUAAGCUAUAGCUUUUUAUAGACAACUUGUUGACUAUAUUUAGUCUUGUGGCUUACUCGCUUAUGCUAUUUUACCUACGCUUAGGAUGUUGAUGUGAUACUGCGAGCA